This 634-nucleotide ribosomal RNA is filed under the name uncultured bacterium. RNAcentral's name for it is "bacterial SSU rRNA". The stretch from base 1 to 543 matches the Rfam family "Bacterial small subunit ribosomal RNA", at positions 338 to 873 of the family's 1533-position model. The record is from RNAcentral.
CCUACGGGAGGCAGCAGUGGGGAAUUUUGGACAAUGGGCGCAAGCCUGAUCCAGCCAUGCCGCGUGCGGGAAGAAGGCCUUCGGGUUGUAAACCGCUUUUGUCAGGGAAGAAAUCCUUUGAGCUAAUACCUCGGGGGGAUGACGGUACCUGAAGAAUAAGCACCGGCUAACUACGUGCCAGCAGCCGCGGUAAUACGUAGGGUGCGAGCGUUAAUCGGAAUUACUGGGCGUAAAGCGUGCGCAGGCGGUCUUGCAAGACAGGUGUGAAAUCCCCGGGCUUAACCUGGGAACUGCACUUGUGACUGCAAGGCUGGAGUACGGCAGAGGGGGAUGGAAUUCCGCGUGUAGCAGUGAAAUGCGUAGAUAUGCGGAGGAACACCGAUGGCGAAGGCAAUCCCCUGGGCCUGUACUGACGCUCAUGCACGAAAGCGUGGGGAGCAAACAGGAUUAGAUACCCUGGUAGUCCACGCCCUAAACGAUGUCAACUGUUGUUGGACGUCUUGCUGUUCAGUAACGAAGCUAACGCGUAGAAGUUCGACCGCCGUGGGGAGGUACGGCCGCGAGGUUAGUAACGUACGAAAGGAAGUUAGUACGGCGUGAGACGUAGACCGACGGACGACGACGAGGGAGGAGG